UUUAGAGGAAGGAGAAGUCGUAACAAGGUUUCCGUAGGUGAACCUGCGGAAGGAUCAUUGUCGUACCCUACCACUCGACACACUUGCGAACGGUUGACCCCUGCCAUCCCGAAGGGGGCGGUUUCUCCUCGGGCUCCCGUCUCUCUUCGAGAUGUUUUCCCUGCCUUCGACACGUUUGACCGGUGGGAGCCUCCUGUCGAUCAGGCCGUCGACCGGCGGGACGAAGAACCUUUUCGGCGCGGCAUGCGUCAAGGAAAACGGAAGUGAAGGCUCGCGCGAUGCAUCCGCGUUGUGGAUGCACGCGGUGCUCAUCACCGAAUAUGAAAAUGAGUCUGAACGACUCCCGGCAACGGAUAUCUAGGCUCUCGCAUCGAUGAAGAACGUAGCGAAAUGCGAUACGUGGUGUGAAUUGCAGAAUCCCGUGAACCAUCGAAUCUUUGAACGCAAGUUGCGCCCGAGGCCUCUAGGCCGAGGGCACGCCUGCCUGGGCGUCACGCCCCGCGUCGCUCCCUGACCCCUCCCACAAAGUGCGGGGUGAGGGAUGCGGAGAUUGGCCCACCGUGCACGUGCGCGGCAGGUUGAAGAACUCGGCCCUCCUGCCGGGCGAUUAACGGCGAGUGGUGGACAACGCUCAUCGUCGCCGUGGCACACGCCCGUGUGCAAGGACGGGCUGACCGUGAGGAACUCAGUCAUCAGAGAGAACGGCCAUAUCAUAAGAUGAGGCAGCUCUUCGAUUGCGACCCCAGGUCAGGCGGGGGCCACCCGCUGAG
This 770-nucleotide ribosomal RNA is filed under the name Arisaema heterophyllum. RNAcentral's name for it is "eukaryotic LSU rRNA". The stretch from base 339 to 494 matches the Rfam family "5.8S ribosomal RNA". The record is from RNAcentral. Lineage: Eukaryota; Viridiplantae; Streptophyta; Magnoliopsida; Alismatales; Araceae.